Molecule: RNA transcript, 2957 nt
Organism: Rhododendron vialii
Lineage: Eukaryota; Viridiplantae; Streptophyta; Magnoliopsida; Ericales; Ericaceae
Gene name: agamous-like MADS-box protein AGL104
Exons: 3
Source: RefSeq, a predicted model, not a curated record
GAGAUGAAUCAAGUUUUAAGAUAAAACCCCCGUAACUUGUGAAAGUCUAUUUAUCUGUUUAAUAGUACGUAGUAAGGAAUAUUUGUUGUGGUGCACACCAUCUUCUCUCUUCUUCCACAAGAACAGAAAAAAUGAUGACCUUACCACAGCCUUAGCGCAUCAGUUGUUCACCUCUAAAUGGAAUUUUCUGAAUGCCCCCCUACUUCAGUUCAAAGCCAAAAUUACUUCAUCUGAUUGUUUGGUGGUAUAUCUUCUAUCUUUGAUGGAUCAUGAACUUAUUCAAAUAAAGUAAGAUUUUCUGCCGGAAAGAAGCACCUUUCUCUCUUUUUUCUGCUUUUGAUAGUGAGAUAAGUGAUAAAUUUAAGGGACGCUUUUAACCCCGUUUUUAGUGUCUUCUUAUUGCAAUAAAAAUCCAAGAUAACCAUGUAACAGUCGUCAAGCAAAUUCAGCCGAGGAGCCACUUGAAUCCAUACUUAAGUGACCUUCUGUGAUGCUGAACUGUCCAUUCUAACAACUGCAAGGAAAUUCCUUCAUAUGGCUGUAUAGAGAACAAUCUCCUGGCUCCCUUUUCAUUCCCAGUGUUCAAACAGGAGAAGCAUGCUAAAAGGCAACUUGGUGAUUAAGUUGUAUUGAAACGGUUGCUUCCUGCUGUUGUGUAGAUAAAACAGGAAGAAAAGGAAUGGCCUUAGUUUUUGAGAGUUUCCGGAAAAUGCUCUUGGCUACUGGAUUGGAAAAUCUGGACACGUUUGCUGGUAAAUUUUGUCAAUUCAUGGAUGCGAUUUCUUCUUGGACAUGUUAGAUUCUGGUAGCUUUGAGUAAUAGUUAUUGGCAAAUACUAGCCAUGCAUUGUUGUAUUGCUUGUAUACUAGUGGAUUUUGUUAGAUUCAGGUAUUUUGGAAAUUUGUUCAUGGAAUUACUUGCUCUACGACUGUUGUCUGACCGUUAUUGAGGUAACAUUUUGAUCUUAGGAGGACGACCGUUAUUCGAGUCUGUUGGAAAACUUCCACUGUGUUACAAUCUGCAUGUCAUCUCUUACCGAAGAAAAAGAUUAAGAAAGCAAAAACUUUCACAAUAUUUCAAACAAAGAACUAGUAAUUGCUUAUUUCCACGAGGUCUUUAACUUUUAAAAUUUGUCUUUCACUUAAUUUCAAAUCAUGCCUGAAUUAGCAGAACUUAGGUUCUCAAAGCAACGAUAUUGGUUCAUGCAGGACAUACUUGCAGCUGCUGUCCUCUAACUGCAGUGUAGGAGGGAAAACAUUUACACAAGGGAGCUAUCAGCGACUUGCGUGUUGCCCCAAAAAGUCAUCCAGUGUCGUACACAGCCUGAAAAUAGAAGCCUAAGACAAGAAGAACGGAUUUUAGUCUUACAGCUUUUGCUUAAAGAGUUCGGUAAUGACCACUGAUCCCAUGGGCCAUAGAUUGUAAGAGCAUCCAGGGGCGGACAUACGUUGGGGCACACACUCAAAUUCAAACAAUUCUAAUAAUGAUCUUAAAUGUUUUUCAUAGAGAUACAAGUGUCCUACUAUAUUUUAGCAUACCGCACUUGUAUACAUCUCGAAAACUCGCAUACCUCUGAUUCUAUAUCUCAACUUUCAUCCUAGAGUUGAUUUACAGGUAUUAGUUUGUAUUAUAUCUCUCUAUUUUGGGCAUCAAAUUCUUGGUACUAUUUGUUUCUAACAGUCUUAGAGAAACAUAUUAGCAGGCAUUCAGUGAUAGAACCAUCUCAAUCUCGAUUACAAUUAACAAGGAGCCACCACAAAGUUAGAUUUUUAGGUUCGCCACUGCAAGCGUCUGAACUUAGAUUUCAGAUGAAUUCGUCCUAGUUGUUAGAAAGACAUCUAUGCAUGUUUCUCAUAAGCUAGAUAGUCUUAAUCUAAUAUCCCAACAGUGGUGAAAGGGGGGAUAUUUUCCAAAAUAUUUGGGUAAAAGUAAAAAAAAAAAUUACUCUUCCGAGACGAAUCCAUAAUCCACAAAAGUUCGGCGUAAAACCAACAAAUGCAGAAAAAAUUGAACAAGGACAAAAAGUGCUUUGCUUAGCGGAACACCAUCUAAGUCUUUGUUACAGUAGUUUCUUUGUUUGUGGAAUUAAUGCAGCUGUUAAUAUACACCUGCCAGGAACUCCAUAAUCCCAUGUCAGGAUGUAAAAAGUGUAUUAAAUGAGUACUCUCCACAAUCAGAAAAAGCUGGACUGAGAUCUUAUCAUAACUUUUACGUAUCUGCUCUAGGAUUAUGCACUAAUUCUCCUGAAGAUUGAGCAGAUUUUCUGACAAGAUCUUAUACUAACUGGCCUAAGCAAAUCUUUCAUAAUUAUGCCCUUUAGGAAUGUUGGACAAGUGGUGAUUAGAGAUAAGGAUGUUCCCUUAAUGUGUGGUCAGAGCAGAUAAUAAUGCAUUGACUUUUCCUGCUAACUUGAGAUAUGUUCUCUUCCUAGUCACGGGCCAGAAGUCUUCUUUAUAACCUUCCUCCUCGAUUUCCCAUUUACCACAUCCAUGGGUUGGAACAAGCUCUCCGCGAGGAAAAUCGAUAAUCAAACCUCUCGACAAGUAAUGUAUUCGAAGCGCAAAGAUGCCAUUGUCAAAAAAGCAAGUGAACUGUCAGUUUUAUGCGAUACAGAUGUUGGUCUUCUAAUGUUUUCUCCUACUGGUCGAUUUACUAGCUUCGCAAGCAAUGGAAGGUUGAUUUGGAAGGGACACUUAUUUUACGUUUCUUUUUCAUACUCGCUUUUGUUUUUCUUUCGUAUAUGUUCUCACCAUUUUUCUAUCUUUUGGCAGGGUCGAGGAUAUCUUCUUGCGAUUUAUUAGCCGGCCUGACGAGCUGAAAGGGGGGCCUAUAGCGGAUGAAGAGUAUUUAUCCGGAAGGCUCAAGCAGUUGAAGCAAGAAGGAGAAAUGCUGGAAAAGAUAGCCAAGUCUCUCUCUCUCUCUCUCUCUCUCUCUCUCUCUCUCUCUCUCUCUCUCUC